Molecule: long non-coding RNA, 787 nt
Organism: Harpegnathos saltator (Jerdon's jumping ant)
Lineage: Eukaryota; Metazoa; Arthropoda; Insecta; Hymenoptera; Formicidae
Exons: 3
Source: RefSeq, a predicted model, not a curated record
UGCAAGAAAAGCAAUCUGUAAUGCUAGCUUACAAAUAUCAAACUUGGGUUCAUCAACACAAUCAAUACAUCAAUACAAAACAGCCUUGAUAAUUAAUAAAAAGAAAAGUGAAAAACGCAAGAAAGUGCAUGCUGCUGUUGCAGUACACGAAAUAUUGAGAAAAGAAACAAGAACGUAUCAGCCUAAACAUUUUUGGAUUGACCCAUUAUUUCAUGAACGUCAUACUUAUGGAUUUUAUCAUGCCUUAUAUCCUGUCAUUUUAUUAAACGUGGCUUGAUUCAGAAAUUAUUUUAGGAUGACUGCAACACAAUUUGAGCAACUACUAGAAAUGAUUCUUGGCAUCAGGGGAUUCAAUGACUUCAAUGUCGUAUCAAUAUUUGAUUGGUUUGACAACUGUCACUAACAUAAUCGAUGAAUCGUGUGAAGUAAUUUCGAAUUGCCUGCGAGAAGUUAUGCUCAAAGAGUCCAUAGAAACUGAUGAAUGGCGUAGAAUCGCUAAAAAUUUUGAAAAUACUUGGAACUUUGUACAGUGUAUUGGAGCAAUCGAUGGAAAACAUGUUAUGAUACAGUGCCCUAAUAAUGCCGUUUCGCUGUAUUUUAAUUACAAACACUGGAACAGCAUAGUAUUGCUUGGAAUCUGUAACGCUGAAUACAUUUUUACGUUUGUUAAUAUUGGAGCUUACGGCCGACGUAGUGAUGGAGGAAUUUUCAGGGAUUUUAUGAUAGGAAAUUUGUUUGAAAAGAAAAAAGUGAAUUUACCCGAGUCAGAGUCAAUUUCAAAAUUAGA